UAAUACAGAGGGUGCAAGCGUUAAUCGGAAUUACUGGGCGUAAAGCGUGCGUAGACGGUCAUGUAAGUCGGGUGUGAAAGCCCCGGGCUCAACCUGGGAAUUGCAUUCGAGACUGCAUGGCUAGGAUGCGGAAGAGGGAAGCGGAAUUUCCGGUGUAGCGGUGAAAUGCGUAGAUAUCGGAAGGAACACCAGUGGCGAAAGCGGCUUCCUGGUCCAGCAUCGACGUUCAGGCACGAAAGCGUGGGGAGCAAACAGGAUUAGAUACCCUGGUAGUCCACGCCAUAAACGAUGAGAACUAGACGUUGAGAGGGUAAGCCUCCCAGUGUCGUAGCUAACGCGCUAAGUUCUCCGCCUGGGGAGUACGGCCGCAAGGUUG
RNAcentral lists this ribosomal RNA (376 nucleotides) under uncultured bacterium. Its description in RNAcentral is "bacterial SSU rRNA". It matches the Rfam family "Bacterial small subunit ribosomal RNA", at positions 521 to 896 of the family's 1533-position model. The record is from RNAcentral.